CCCAUCGAGGACCUGCGGGACAAGAUUCUUGGUGCCACCAUUGAGAACUCCAGGAUUGUCCUACAGAUCGACAAC
This is a microRNA precursor of Chlorocebus sabaeus (green monkey), 75 nucleotides long. It matches the Rfam family "mir-492 microRNA precursor family". NCBI's taxonomy places the organism in Eukaryota, Metazoa, Chordata, Mammalia, Primates, Cercopithecidae. The record is from Rfam.